CGGUCGUGGACCCGGAGGAAGGAGGUGCAGGGCCGACGCAGUCCCGGGGCCUCCGACCCGACCCCGGAGCGCGUGGCCGGCCCUCUGGAGGCGUCCGGCUGGCUCCUCCACCGCGCUGGGCCGCGCUCUGCCCGGUCCGCGCCUCGCCGCGGCUGACAGCGGGAGAUCGGCACUGGCACUCGGGAGCCUCGCGCGGGCGGGCAGACGCCCUUGGCGAGUCCCUGCAGCCAACCCGGACACCGGACGCCGGACCCCGUCCUGAGCGGCAACCCGCGGCAGAAACCAGCUGGCCGGCCCCCUAGCAGGCGCUAUUCCCCUCUGGGCCUCCUGUGCCCUUUACUUCCUCCUUUUCAAUCAUUUGUAUUUCUUCGCCCGCCAGUCUUACAGUGUGGGGCUUUUCCCCAGUUCAUGCUUCCUGUUUGGUUAACCUGGAAGCGAAGCCUUGUCAGGCGCGUUUCACUCGGGCAGCCCUUCCCAGGGCCGCUGCGCUUCGCCCUUCCCUCUCAGAUCGCAAGCCGCGUUUCCUGUCUGAGACCCGGCCCUGGUGGAGCCGCUCACCCGGGUGCGGUGUCCGAGGACUUCAGGAUCCAUGUGGUUUUUACCGAGUCCGAGUCCGAGUCUGCAUCAAACUCCGUGACCUGAGAGGAGCCCUGGUCCAGCCAGCGGGUGGAGGGAGCGCCAGACCUGCGGCCGAGCCUCCGACCCGAAGGAGGACCUCGGUGGCUCAGGGCUCCUCUGACAGCGCCCUGCCAGGCGGGCGGAGGACACGCCGGGCCACCGAGCUCGCCUCUGCCACGCGGGACAAAGCGUUCGGGGCGCUGGCCGAGGCCGGCAUGAGAGGAGGAACAAGAUGACGAUUUGCUGGAUGCCAGCGGGACCCGGUAUCAGUGUCCUUCAUGACAGUUUCCAUCCACAACGAAACCAGCAUUUUCUCAACAUAAAGCUCAGAUUCAAGCUGGGUACCGUGGUGCACACCUGUAAUCCCGGCACUCGGGAGGCUGAAGCAGGCAGGAUCACCGUGAGCUCAAGGGCAGCCUGGGCUACUCAGUGAGACCUCAUCUCAAAAUAAAACAAAACAGCAGAUUCUAUCUUUUAUUCUCCAACCUCUCAGAUACUUCUAGAACUUAUCCCAGCUGGAGCCAGAUGUCAGGAAAUUCCUGAGGUGUCCGUGUCCCUGCAGGGCUCCAUGGUGGGAUCUCCCUGUCACCCAAGAACAAUCUCCCCACCUCUGGGGAGGCAGCUAAAGAAAUUCCAGUCCAAACCCUCCAGGGAGUCCAGGGAGAAGCGGGUCCCGCACCCCGUGGGUCACAGACGGGGCCCUGAGGCCCGGCCAGGCUGGAGGCCCUGCUGCUGGGGCCUCCGUUUCCAGGGACCCCGUCUCCCUGCCCCCAAGCACUGCUUCUCUCCCUGUGUGACACGUGAGGAAGGCGCCCGAGGCAGGGAGGAGUAGAAAGCACUUUGCAAACACCCG
Molecule: long non-coding RNA, 1471 nt
Filed under: Heterocephalus glaber (naked mole-rat)
Lineage: Eukaryota; Metazoa; Chordata; Mammalia; Rodentia; Bathyergidae
Description: lncRNA (ENSHGLG00000048688.1)
Source: RNAcentral